This 547-nucleotide ribosomal RNA is filed under the name Infundichalara microchona. RNAcentral's name for it is "LSU rRNA". It matches the Rfam family "Eukaryotic large subunit ribosomal RNA", at positions 44 to 594 of the family's 3401-position model. Lineage: Eukaryota; Fungi; Ascomycota; Leotiomycetes; Helotiales; Hamatocanthoscyphaceae. The record is from RNAcentral.
CAAUAAGCGGAGGAAAAGAAACCAACAGGGAUUGCCUCAGUAACGGCGAGUGAAGCGGCAACAGCUCAAAUUUGAAAUCUGGCUCUUUCAGGGUCCGAGUUGUAAUUUGUAGAAGAUGCUUCGGGUGUGGCUCCGGUCUAAGUUCCUUGGAACAGGACGUCAUAGAGGGUGAGAAUCCCGUAUGUGACUGGUUGCCUUCGCCCAUGUAAAGCUCUUUCGACGAGUCGAGUUGUUUGGGAAUGCAGCUCAAAAUGGGUGGUAAAUUUCAUCUAAAGCUAAAUAUUGGCCAGAGACCGAUAGCGCACAAGUAGAGUGAUCGAAAGAUGAAAAGCACUUUGGAAAGAGAGUUAAACAGUACGUGAAAUUGUUGAAAGGGAAGCGCUUGCAACCAGACUUGCACGCUGUCGAUCAUCUGGGGUUUUCUCCAGUGCACUCGGUUGCGUUCAGGCCAGCAUCGGUUUGGGUGGUUGGAUAAAGGCUGUGGGAAUGUAGCUUCUCUCGGGGAGUGUUAUAGCCCACGGUGCAAUGCAGCCUACUCGCGCCGAGG